AUCCAGCUGACCAGUCCCAAAUAGGAUGAAACGCGUCUCCUGAAU
This 45-nucleotide non-coding RNA is filed under the name Schistosoma mattheei. Lineage: Eukaryota; Metazoa; Platyhelminthes; Trematoda; Strigeidida; Schistosomatidae. The record is from RNAcentral.